RNAcentral lists this ribosomal RNA (491 nucleotides) under uncultured bacterium. RNAcentral describes it as "partial 16S ribosomal RNA". It matches the Rfam family "Bacterial small subunit ribosomal RNA", at positions 28 to 507 of the family's 1533-position model. The record is from RNAcentral.
GAUGAACGCUGGCUACAGGCUUAACACAUGCAAGUCGAGGGGAAACGACGGGGAAGCUUGCUUCCCCGGGCGUCGACCGGCGCACGGGUGAGUAACGCGUAUCCAACCUGCCUCUGACUGAGGGAUAACCCGUCGAAAGUCGGCCUAAUACCUCAUGGCAUCGUCUGCGGGCAUCCAACGACGAUUAAAGAUUUCAUCGGUCAGGGAUGGGGAUGCGUCUGAUUAGCUAGUUGGCGGGGUAACGGCCCACCAAGGCGACGAUCAGUAGGGGUUCUGAGAGGAAGGUCCCCCAGAUUGGAACGGAGACACGGUCUAAACUCCUACGGAUGGCAGCAGUGAGGAAUACUGUGCAGUGGGCGAGAGCCUGAACCAGCCAAGUAGCGUGCAGGAUGACGGCCCUAUGGGUAGUAACCUGCUUUUAUGCGGGGAUAAAGUGAGGGACGGGUCCUUCAUUGAAGGUACCGCAUGAAUAAGGACCGGCUAAUUCCGUG